UCACCCAGGCAUUUCCAGACUGGUAGAGCAUGAGACUCUUAAUCUCAGGGUUGUGGGUUCAAGCCCCACAUUAGGUGAA
Podarcis lilfordi (Lilford's wall lizard) is the source of this 79-nucleotide non-coding RNA. NCBI's taxonomy places the organism in Eukaryota, Metazoa, Chordata, Lepidosauria, Squamata, Lacertidae. The record is from the annotation of a GenBank genome assembly.